This is a long non-coding RNA of Notolabrus celidotus (New Zealand spotty), 222 nucleotides long. RefSeq lists it as uncharacterized. The transcript has 2 exons. The record is from RefSeq and is a predicted model, not a curated record. NCBI's taxonomy places the organism in Eukaryota, Metazoa, Chordata, Actinopteri, Labriformes, Labridae.
AGAAGAAGAAGAAGAAGAAGAAGAGUUAUUUUUGGUCAUGCUACACACAGUUUUUUUGGAGAUCUGCCAGGAGGGAUGAAAUUCACUUAGAAAUAAUAAAAUGUCAAGAGUGUGAAUUUGAAUAAAAAUCUUUUUCAUCAUCUGUAAAAAGUUUUAAUAUUCCUUGGAGGGCUUUGCUUAAAGAUGAGGAAGAAGACUAUUAAAUGUUAUAUUCACAAGGAA